UUAGAGUUAAGGGGUAGGGUUUAGGAUUUAGGGUUUAAGGUUUAGGGUUUAGAGUUUAGGGGUGGGGUUUAGGGUUUAGGGAUUAGAGUUAAGGGGUAGAGUUUAGGAUUUAGGGUUUAGGGUUUAGGAUUUAGGGUUUAGAGUUUAGGGUUUAGGGUUUAUAGUUUGGGGUUAAGGGGUGGGGUUUAGGAUUUAGGGUUUAGGGUUUAGGGUUUAGGAUUUAGGGUUUAGGGUUUAGAGUUUAGGUUUUAGGGUUUAGAGUUGGGGAUGGAGGUUUUGAGAUAAGGUUUCAAAUUUUGAAAAAUACAAAAAAUUUAAUUUUUUCAAAAGAUAAAAUGAUAUUUUGGUCAUUUUGGUUUUUGAGGGCUAUUUUUGUGACAUAAACUUAGAAAUGUGCUAUUUUGGAGAUUUGCCCUUUAU
This 420-nucleotide long non-coding RNA is filed under the name Brassica napus (rape). RNAcentral's name for it is "long non-coding RNA (BNAP_LNC027003)". Lineage: Eukaryota; Viridiplantae; Streptophyta; Magnoliopsida; Brassicales; Brassicaceae. The record is from RNAcentral.